This 251-nucleotide ribosomal RNA is filed under the name uncultured Anaplasma sp. RNAcentral's name for it is "partial 16S ribosomal RNA". It matches the Rfam family "Bacterial small subunit ribosomal RNA", at positions 142 to 409 of the family's 1533-position model. The record is from RNAcentral. Lineage: Bacteria; Pseudomonadati; Pseudomonadota; Alphaproteobacteria; Rickettsiales; Anaplasmataceae.
GAUAGCCACUAGAAAUGGUGGGUAAUACUGUAUAAUCCCUGCGGGGGAAAGAUUUAUCGCUAUUAGAUGAGCCUAUGUUAGAUUAGCUAGUUGGUAGGGUAAAGGCCUACCAAGGCGAUGAUCUAUAGCUGGUCUGAGAGGAUGAUCAGCCACACUGGAACUGAGAUACGGUCCAGACUCCUACGGGAGGCAGCAGUGGGGAAUAUUGGACAAUGGGCGCAAGCCUGAUCCAGCUAUGCCGCGUGAGUGAG